CUGCGAGUGAAGCGGGAAAAGCUCAAAUUUAAAAUCUGGCGGUCUUUGGCCGUCCGAGUUGUAGUCUGGAGAAGUGUUUUCCGUGCUGGACCGUGUACAAGUCUCUUGGAACAGAGCGUCAUAGAGGGUGAGAAUCCCGUCUUUGACACGGACUACCAGUGCUUUGUGAUGCGCUCUCAAAGAGUCGAGUUGUUUGGGAAUGCAGCUCAAAAUGGGUGGUAAAUUCCAUCUAAAGCUAAAUAUUGGCGAGAGACCGAUAGCGAACAAGUACCGUGAGGGAAAGAUGAAAAGCACUUUGGAAAGAGAGUUAAACAGUACGUGAAAUUGCUGAAAGGGAAACGCUUGAAGUCAGUCGCGUUGAUCAGAACUCAGCCUUGCUUUUGCUUGGUGCAUUUUCUGGUUGACGGGCCAGCAUCGAUUUUGACCAUCGGAAAAAGGCUAGGGGAAUGUGGCACCUUCGGGUGUGUUAUAGCCCUUAGUCACAUACGGUGGUUGGGAUCGAGGACCGCAGCACGCCUUUAUGGCCGGGGUUCGCCCACGUUCGUGCUUAGGAUGCUGGCGUAAUGGCUUUAAACGAC
This 578-nucleotide ribosomal RNA is filed under the name Fomitopsis dickinsii. Its description in RNAcentral is "partial large subunit ribosomal RNA". It matches the Rfam family "Eukaryotic large subunit ribosomal RNA", at positions 87 to 648 of the family's 3401-position model. The record is from RNAcentral. Lineage: Eukaryota; Fungi; Basidiomycota; Agaricomycetes; Polyporales; Fomitopsidaceae.